Molecule: ribosomal RNA, 253 nt
Filed under: uncultured bacterium
Lineage: Bacteria
Description: partial 16S ribosomal RNA
Rfam family: Bacterial small subunit ribosomal RNA
Source: RNAcentral
GACAGAGGGGGCAAGCGUUGCUCGGAAUUACUGGGCGUAAAGGGCGCGUAGGCGGGAUGGCAAGUCGGUCGUGAAAUCCCUCGGCUCAACCGAGGAACGUCGAUCGAUACUGCUGUUCUUGAGGAUUGCAGAGGAGACUGGAAUUCCCGGUGUAGCGGUGAAAUGUGUAGAGAUCGGGAGGAACACCGGUGGCGAAGGCGGGUCUCUGGGCAAUUCCUGACACUGAGACACGAAGGCCAGGGGAGCAAACGGG